GUGGGGAAUCUUGCGCAAUGGGCGAAAGCCUGACGCAGCCAUGCCGCGUGAAUGAUGAAGGUCUUAGGAUUGUAAAAUUCUUUCACCGGGGACGAUAAUGACGGUACCCGGAGAAGAAGCCCCGGCUAACUUCGUGCCAGCAGCCGCGGUAAUACGAAGGGGGCUAGCGUUGCUCGGAAUUACUGGGCGUAAAGGGCGCGUAGGCGGACAGUUUAGUCAGAGGUGAAAGCCCAGGGCUCAACCUUGGAAUUGCCUUUGAUACUGGCUGUCUUGAGUACGGGGGAGGUGGGUGGAAAUCCGAGUGUAGAGGUGCAAUUCGUAGAUAUGCGGAAGAACAACAGUGGCGAAGGCGACUCACUGGCCCGUUACUGACGCUGAGGCGCGAAAGCGUGGGGAGCAAACAGGAUUAGAAACCCCUGUAGUCC
RNAcentral lists this ribosomal RNA (425 nucleotides) under uncultured bacterium. Its description in RNAcentral is "partial 16S ribosomal RNA". It matches the Rfam family "Bacterial small subunit ribosomal RNA", at positions 354 to 796 of the family's 1533-position model. The record is from RNAcentral.